GGUGCUUCCCCAGAGACCUGAAGAGACAGGCGAAGGAGAAGGGAUAGGGGUGUGAAGUUUGCCUGACAUUCUGGAGCACACAUUUACCCAGGACCCCAAGUUCCUUCUAGGUGCUAAAUGCUCCAUUCGUCCUGAAAUGCAAAUGAUCUCAGCUCCAAAAGAAGUGGAGAGAAGGCCUGGACUGUCCUGAGGUAUUUGCUUCACGUCUCUGCUUUGAGACAGGAUCCUGCGCCCAAAGUGACAGGAGGGGUACCUCUGGGCCACAUCGUGGUCUCCGGCAGUGAAUCUCAGCCUUGGUGCGUAGGUCUCGGGCCCCCGUGGUCCACGGGUCACCAAGCUCCAUUGCCCUAGUCCAGGCCCCCGUCCACCGUUCUUGGUCCCCCUUCCCUCCUCCCUGGGGGCAGAGGCUACAGUCCUUCUCCCC
This 424-nucleotide long non-coding RNA is filed under the name Lynx pardinus (Iberian lynx). The record is from RNAcentral. Lineage: Eukaryota; Metazoa; Chordata; Mammalia; Carnivora; Felidae.